This 253-nucleotide ribosomal RNA is filed under the name uncultured bacterium. RNAcentral describes it as "partial 16S ribosomal RNA". It matches the Rfam family "Bacterial small subunit ribosomal RNA", at positions 524 to 776 of the family's 1533-position model. The record is from RNAcentral.
UACGUAGGGGGCAAGCGUUGUCCGGAAUCAUUGGGCGUAAAGCGCGCGUAGGCGGCCCGGUAAGUCCGCUCUGGAAGUCCAGGGCUCAACCCUGGAAAGCGGGUGGAUACUGCCGGGCUAGAAUCCGGAAGAGGCGAGUGGAAUUCCUGGUGUAGCGGUGGAAUGCGCAGAUAUCAGGAGGAACACCAAUAGCGAAGGCAGCUCGCUGGGACGGUAUUGACGCUAAGGCGCGAAAGCGUGGGGAGCAAACAGG